GACGAACGCUGGCGGCGUGCUUAACACAUGCAAGUCGAACGAAGAGCGAUGGAAGCUUGCUUCUAUCAAUCUUAGUGGCGGACGGGUGAGUAACGCGUAAUCAACCUGCCCUUCAGAGGGGGACAACAGUUGGAAACGACUGCUAAUACCGCAUACGAUCUAAUCUCGGCAUCGAGGAUAGAUGUAAGGUGGCCUCUACAUGUAAGCUAUCACUGAAGGAGGGGAUUGCGUCUGAUUAGCUAGUUGGAGGGGUAACGGCCCACCAAGGCGAUGAUCAGUAGCCGGUCUGAGAGGAUGAACGGCCACAUUGGGACUGAGACACGGCCCAGACUCCUACGGGAGGCAGCAGUGGGGAAUCUUCCGCAAUGGACGAAAGUCUGACGGAGCAACGCCGCGUGAGUGAUGACGGCCUUCGGGUUGUAAAGCUCUGUUAAUCGGGACGAAAGGCCUUCUUGCGAAUAGUGAGAAGGAUUGACGGUACCGGAAUAGAAAGCCACGGCUAACUACGUG
This 510-nucleotide ribosomal RNA is filed under the name uncultured bacterium. RNAcentral's name for it is "partial 16S ribosomal RNA". It matches the Rfam family "Bacterial small subunit ribosomal RNA", at positions 28 to 507 of the family's 1533-position model. The record is from RNAcentral.